CGACCAGUCCUCAGCCGGCAACAUGAAGCUGGGUGGCCUCUGCCUCCUGCUCCUCCUCGCCGUCCUUCUCACCCUCAAUGCAGAGCUCCAGGCAGUUGAUGUAGGUAUCUGUGUGACGGAGUGCAAGGUAGACCAGGACUGUGGGGCAGGAAGACGAUGCACCAGCAAUGGAUGUGGCCGGGUCUGCUCCCCAAUCCAGCAAAGAGGCCUGCGAGCACCAGUGCAGAGAAGACAGGGACUGUGGGAGUGGACAUCAGUGCGUGAGGAAGGGCUGUGGGCACGUCUGCGCCCCCGUCCAUCAAGUCGGUAUCUGUGUGACGGAGUGCCGUGUAGACCAGGACUGUGGGGAAGGAAGACUAUGCAUCAGUAAUGGGUGUGGCCGUGUCUGCUUCCCAGUCCGGCGAAGAGAGGCCUGCGAGCACCAGUGCAGAGAAGACAGGGACUGUGGGAGUGGACAUCAGUGCGUGAGGAAGGGCUGUGGGCACGUCUGCGCCCCCGUCCAUCAAGUCGAUGUAGGUAUCUGUGUGACGGAGUGCCGUGUAGACCAGGACUGUGGGGAAGGAAGACUAUGCAUCAGUAAUGGGUGUGGCCGUGUCUGCUUCCCAGGGCGAAAAGAGGGCUGCGAGCACCAGUGCAGAGAAGACAGGGACUGUGGGAGUGGACAUCAGUGCGUGAGGAAGGGCUGUGGGCACGUCUGCGCCCCCGUCCAUCAAGUCGUAGGUAUCUGUGUGACGGAGUGCAACGUAGACCAGGACUGUGGGGAAGGAAGACAAUGCACCAGCAAUGGGUGUGGCCGUGUCUGCUCCCCAGUCCAGCAAGAAGAGGCCUGCGAGCACCAGUGCAGAGAAGACAGGGACUGUGGGAGUGGACAUCAGUGCGUGAGGAAGGGCUGUGGGCACGUCUGUGCCCCCGUCCAUCAAGUCGAUGUAGGUAUCUGUGUGACGGAGUGCAAGGUAGACCAGGACUGUGGGGCAGGAAGACGAUGCACCAGCAAUGGAUGUGGCCGUGUCUGCUCCCCAGCCCAGCAAAGAGAGGCCUGCGAGCACCAAUGCAGAGAAGACAAGGACUGUGGGAGUGGACAUCAGUGCGUGAGGAAGGGCUGUGGGCACGUCUGCUCCCCCAUCCCUCAAGUAGGUAUCUGUGUGACGGAGUGCAAUGUAGACCAGGACUGUGGGGCAGGAAGACGAUGCACCAGCAAUGGAUGUGGCCGUGUCUGCUCCCCACCCCAGGGAGGAGGACUCUGUGUGGACCGCUGCCGAGGAAACUGGGACUGUGGGGCCGGAGAAGAAUGUAUCAGGAAGGGAUGUGGACGGGUCUGCUCUCCAGCCCAGGAGCCAGUGGUAGGUAUCUGUGUGGAUCAGUGCCAAAGACACUGGGAAUGUGGUCCACGGAUGCGGUGUGUCUCCACUGGAUGUGGCCACAUCUGCUCACCAGCCCAAGACCAAGUUGAACAGAGACCCGGAAAAUGUCCAGUGUUGCCAAAAGGAACGAUUGGACUUUGUGCUGAAUUUUGCUUCGGGGAUGACUCCUGUCCCAGCGGACAGAAGUGCUGCAGCAAUGGUUGUGGACACUCUUGCCAGACUGCUGUUCCAGACGAGAAAACCUUCCCUAGCCGUUUGGAUGACUGAUGAACCUUGGCCUCCUUCCAUAAUUGUUCCCACAUGUCACCUUUAUUUGAAGAGCUGGGCUUUUCCAGGAACUCCACCUUUGCCAGGAACCCCAGGAUCAUGGGGUGAGGUUCUAGAAUAACUUGGCUUAAGGGUUGAAUUCUGGCAAUUGUUCAAGGAAUAGUGCUUGCAAAGGAUCCUUCUUCUGAAUAAAACGACUUCUCUGGCAU
This 1837-nucleotide long non-coding RNA is filed under the name Sus scrofa (pig). Its description in RNAcentral is "lncRNA (ENSSSCG00050075054.1)". The record is from RNAcentral. Lineage: Eukaryota; Metazoa; Chordata; Mammalia; Artiodactyla; Suidae.